GGGCAGGGUGGGCUUCGCGGCCCGCUUUCUCUCUCCGCGCUCCGUGUGGGGCUCGCUGGGCGGGCGCUCGCCUUCUCGCACUGCCCGGAUCGCUGAAUCCUCCGCUCGGAAAGGUGCCGAGAUCGCGCAGACCGAGGCUCAGCAGCCCAGCUCGCGCGUCGGGAGCAGGCCUGUGGGCCGCACGGGUGAAGUGCAAAAACAGCAAACAGCCGAAGACACACUCCCGUCCCUCCCCACACGGGCACGAAAUGAAAGAAUUCCUAGAGAAAUUCUGAAAGCAGUGAGGGCCUUCGAAGGCGCUGGAUGGUGACUUCAGGCUGGAAGCUGUUUUUUUCUUCAGACUCUUGCUUAAAGAAAGGUCUGAACUGUUUAAUCUUCUUUGGACAUCUCAUCAGAGGUUUAACUACGCAUGCCACCAGAGGGAUGUUAAGGCCUCAUGUUUCAGGAGAGAGGAAGCCCCACUGAUCAGUCCCGAUGCCUGUUUGGCAGGAUUGUGCCUGGUGCGCUUGCCAAAAUUUUGGUGAGGAUUUUGCUGUCAAGAGGAAGAGGUGAUGCAGGCUUAAGUGAAGAGCGUGAUCUAAAGUCUUUGUGUUGAAGGAUUAGAACAUCUCCC
This 613-nucleotide long non-coding RNA is filed under the name Fukomys damarensis (Damara mole-rat). RNAcentral's name for it is "lncRNA (ENSFDAG00000024875.1)". The record is from RNAcentral. Lineage: Eukaryota; Metazoa; Chordata; Mammalia; Rodentia; Bathyergidae.